CCCUUCUCAGGGUCGCACCUGGAGACUUUCUAGUACUCUACCAGUCUCGACUAUGAGGGGGAGAGUCAAGCAGAGGCACAACCAUUCCAUUCCUAGCUUGGGCAGUGGCUAGCGAGUGGAAAGCAAUCUGUUACAAGU
This is a small nucleolar RNA of Tachyglossus aculeatus (Australian echidna), 138 nucleotides long. Lineage: Eukaryota; Metazoa; Chordata; Mammalia; Monotremata; Tachyglossidae. The record is from RefSeq and is a predicted model, not a curated record.